UGAUGUUCUAACGUUGGCCCCUAAUCGGGGUUGCGGACAGUGUCUGGUGGGUAGUUUGACUGGGGCGGUCUCCUCCUAAAGAGUAACGGAGGAGCACGAAGGUUGGCUAAUCCUGGUCGGACAUCAGGAGGUUAGUGCAAUGGCAUAAGCCAGCUUGACUGCGAGCGUGACGGCGCGAGCAGGUGCGAAAGCAGGUCAUAGUGAUCCGGUGGUUCUGAAUGGAAGGGCCAUCGCUCAACGGAUAAAAGGUACUCCGGGGAUAACAGGCUGAUACCGCCCAAGAGUUCAUAUCGACGGCGGUGUUUGGCACCUCGAUGUCGGCUCAUCACAUCCUGGGGCUGAAGUAGGUCCCAAGGGUAUGGCUGUUCGCCAUUUAAAGUGGUACGCGAGCUGGGUUUAGAACGUCGUGAGACAGUUCGGUCCCUAUCUGCCGUGGGCGCUGGAGAACUGAGGGGGGCUGCUCCUAGUACGAGAGGACCGGAGUGGACGCAUCACUGGUGUUCGGGUUGUCAUGCCAAUGGCACUGCCCGGUAGCUAAAUGCGGAAGAGAUAAGUGCUGAAAGCAUCUAAGCACGAAACUUGCCCCG
Molecule: ribosomal RNA, 587 nt
Filed under: Escherichia coli
Lineage: Bacteria; Pseudomonadati; Pseudomonadota; Gammaproteobacteria; Enterobacterales; Enterobacteriaceae
Description: partial 23S ribosomal RNA
Rfam family: Bacterial large subunit ribosomal RNA
Source: RNAcentral